UUACUCUGUACGUGUUGUGGUGUGGGUCUGUGGGACAUUAAUGAUUGCUACACUGCCACAAACAAAGCAGUCUAGCUUCGAAAACAGAGUCCCUUUUAAAUUGCCAACGUAACCACCCAAAAGGAUUUAUUUACCCCUCUAGUGAAUGCGGCCAGUGAGUUCUCACGGCAUGCUCAACAUCAUUAAAGGCCUGUAGAAAAAAGGGAACAUUUGCUCUGGUACUUUCGACUGGAGCAAGUAAGAAGCAUAUUUGGAGUGAAUCCUGACGUGGAGUUUACACGUGUUCUUUUUCUUUCAUUAACACCAAGGUCUGCAGCCUUUUGUCUAAGAAUAUCGGUGUCGUGUCGCAGGGAGAACUUGGAGCAAGAGUUGCAGGGCCUUAGCCAAGCUAGAAGAGGUCAAGGGACAUGGCCACCUUCUGGACUCCUCUUCCCCCCCAGCAAAAGAAGAUGGCUGGAACAAAUCCGGUGGCUCCCAUUGGACGGAAAAAGUUGAGAACUAUUUUAGUAGACUUUUGUCUUUUGCAUUUUUUAAUGCACAUUAUUUAAAAUCUUUGUUUUGAUUGUUUAUUUUUAAACAUCCUGUUAAAUUCCUUUUUUUGUUGUUGCUGGAAUUAAAUCAUUUAAACAACUGUAGGUAUAUUUUUAUUAACAUAGGCCCACUGAUUUUUAUUAAUUUUUUCAUUAGUAGAUCAUAAACUUUUUUUUUUUGGAACAAUUGUUUAUUGUAGUCUAAACUUCGGUUUCUAUACAUCUACUGUAUGUUUUCAUAUAAAUGACAUGGCUUUAUAAAUGACACUUUUUUUUUUUUUUUUUGUCCUGUCCAGCUUCUCAGGCAAAUCAUAUAGUAGUUGUAGAUGCCCAUAUCGGCUGUUCAGAUUUACUUUACAAAAGAAAAGUGUAGGAUACUUCUCUUGUUGCCUUAUUUGUAUUUGACUUUAUUAAAUGUAUUUAUAUUAUCAUUUGGUGCAGCCGGGCCGGAGCAGGAAGGGAUAGAAAGAGAAAAAAAGGAAGACGGGGGAAUUGUGGGGACAAGAGGGGGGUUAGACAGAGAGACAAAAACAACAACAGCAAACACAACAACAACAAUAGAGCAACAUCAGCAAAUAUGACAUGUACAAAUAUGAUGGUAAAAGUAAUAGCAAAUAAGCAGUUGGCGAAAAUAAAAAAUAAUACAGAAAUGACAAUGAACAUUAUUACACUACAAAUGGAGCAAUACAAAUACCAAUAGAAAUAGUGCUAUUGAUAAUGAACAAUACCAAUACUUUACCUUUAUUAUCAACAAUACAGUUGUUCAAAUGCAACAAUACAUAUACCUGUACGUAAUGAUAAUUUGAGAUACGAAAGAAUGUAGAAAAAUGGAGGGGAAGAAAGAGAAGCAACCUACAUUAACCUUGUAGAUUGUUAUAGUAAAAAUAGGUUAAGCUUUGUCAGUGUGCCAUGUGUUAUACCCAGUUUACCCUAGGGCAACAACAUUAAUAUGUUUGAUGAAACGUGAUUAUGUGCAUGAGUGUAUGUGUGCAUAUGUACUUGUAAAAAAAAAAAAGACACUUAUUCAUUGUUAGAUGUGAACUUGUAUCAAUAAAAGGAUGGAACAAUCAA
Long non-coding RNA from Entelurus aequoreus (snake pipefish), 1601 nucleotides. RefSeq lists it as uncharacterized. The record is from RefSeq and is a predicted model, not a curated record. NCBI's taxonomy places the organism in Eukaryota, Metazoa, Chordata, Actinopteri, Syngnathiformes, Syngnathidae. The transcript has 5 exons.